This 932-nucleotide ribosomal RNA is filed under the name Candidatus Phytoplasma asteris-related phytoplasma. Its description in RNAcentral is "bacterial SSU rRNA". It matches the Rfam family "Bacterial small subunit ribosomal RNA", at positions 218 to 1159 of the family's 1533-position model. The record is from RNAcentral. Lineage: Bacteria; Bacillati; Mycoplasmatota; Mollicutes; Acholeplasmatales; Acholeplasmataceae.
CUUAGGGAGGAGCUUGCGUCACAUUAGUUAGUUGGUGGGGUAAAGGCCUACCAAGACUAUGAUGUGUAGCCGGGCUGAGAGGUUGAACGGCCACAUUGGGACUGAGACACGGCCCAAACUCCUACGGGAGGCAGCAGUAGGGAAUUUUCGGCAAUGGAGGAAACUCUGACCGAGCAACGCCGCGUGAACGAUGAAGUAUUUCGGUACGUAAAGUUCUUUUAUUAGGGAAGAAUAAAUGAUGGAAAAAUCAUUCUGACGGUACCUAAUGAAUAAGCCCCGGCUAACUAUGUGCCAGCAGCCGCGGUAAUACAUAGGGGGCAAGCGUUAUCCGGAAUUAUUGGGCGUAAAGGGUGCGUAGGCUGUUAAAUAAGUUUAUGGUCUAAGUGCAAUGCUCAACAUUGUGAUGCUAUAAAAACUGUUUAGCUAGAGUAAGAUAGAGGCAAGUGGAAUUCCAUGUGUAGUGGUAAAAUGCGUAAAUAUAUGGAGGAACACCAGUAGCGAAGGCGGCUUGCUGGGUCUUUACUGACGCUGAGGCACGAAAGCGUGGGGAGCAAACAGGAUUAGAUACCCUGGUAGUCCACGCCGUAAACGAUGAGUACUAAACGUUGGGUAAAACCAGUGUUGAAGUUAACACAUUAAGUACUCCGCCUGAGUAGUACGUACGCAAGUAUGAAACUUAAAGGAAUUGACGGGACUCCGCACAAGCGGUGGAUCAUGUUGUUUAAUUCGAAGGUACCCGAAAAACCUCACCAGGUCUUGACAUGCUUCUGCAAAGCUGUAGAAACACAGUGGANGUUAUCAGUUGCACAGGUGGUGCAUGGUUGUCGUCAGCUCGUGUCGUGAGAUGUUGGGUUAAGUCCCGCAACGAGCGCAACCCUUAUUGUUAGUUGCCANCACGUAAUGGNGGGGACUUUAGCAAGACUGCCAGUGAU